UACGUAGGGUGCAAGCGUUAAUCGGAAUUAUUGGGCGUAAAGGGUGCGCAGGCGGUUGUAUAAGUCAGAUGUGAAAUCCCUGGGCUUAACCUAGGAAUUGCGUUUGAAACUAUAUAACUAGAGUGUGACAGAGGGGAGUGGAAUUCCAUGUGUAGCAGUGAAAUGCGUAGAGAUGUGGAAGAACACCGAUGGCGAAGGCAGCUCCCUGGGUUAACACUGACGCUCAGGCACGAAAGCGUGGGGAGCAAACAGGAUUAGAUACCCUGGUAGUCCACGCCCUAAACGAUGUCAACUAGUUGUCGGAUCUAUAUAAAGAUUAGGUAACGUAGCUAACGCGUGAAGUUGACCGCCUGGGAAGUACGGUCGCAAGAUUAA
This 375-nucleotide ribosomal RNA is filed under the name uncultured Nitrosomonas sp. Its description in RNAcentral is "bacterial SSU rRNA". It matches the Rfam family "Bacterial small subunit ribosomal RNA", at positions 524 to 897 of the family's 1533-position model. Lineage: Bacteria; Pseudomonadati; Pseudomonadota; Betaproteobacteria; Nitrosomonadales; Nitrosomonadaceae. The record is from RNAcentral.